This 900-nucleotide ribosomal RNA is filed under the name uncultured Sphingobacteriales bacterium. RNAcentral's name for it is "bacterial SSU rRNA". It matches the Rfam family "Bacterial small subunit ribosomal RNA", at positions 28 to 924 of the family's 1533-position model. The record is from RNAcentral. Lineage: Bacteria; Pseudomonadati; Bacteroidota; Sphingobacteriia; Sphingobacteriales.
GAUGAACGCUAGCGGCAGGCUUAAUACAUGCAAGUCGUGGGGUAGCGCAGUGUAGCAAUACAUGGGCGGCGACCGGCAAACGGGUGCGUAACACGUACGCAAUCUACCCACUACAGGGGAAUAGCCCAGGGAAACUUGGAUUAAUACCCCAUAUUAUAUAGGGUUGGCAUCAACUUUAUAUCAAAGCUUCGGCGGUAGUGGAUGAGCGUGCGGUUGAUUAGAUAGUUGGCGGGGUAACGGCCCACCAAGUCUACGAUCAAUAGCUGAUGUGAGAGCAUGAUCAGCCACACGGGCACUGAGACACGGGCCCGACCCCUACGGGAGGCAGCAGUAAGGAAUAUUGGGCAAUGGACGCAAGUCUGACCCAGCCAUGCCGCGUGAAGGAUGAAGGUCCUCUGGAUUGUAAACUUCUUUUAUCUGGGGCGAAAACAACUCUUUCUAGGGUUCUUGACAGUACCAGAGGAAUAAGCACCGGCUAACUCCGUGCCAGCAGCCGCGGUAAUACGGAGGGUGCAAGCGUUAUCCGGAUUCACUGGGUUUAAAGGGUGCGUAGGCGGGUUAGUAAGUCAGUGGUGAAAUCCCCGAGCUUAACUUGGGAACUGCCGUUGAUACUAUUAGUCUUGAAUAUCGUGGAGGUAAGCGGAAUAUGUCAUGUAGCGGUGAAAUGCUUAGAUAUGACAUAGAACACCAAUUGCGAAGGCAGCUUGCUACACGAUUAUUGACGCUGAGGCACGAAAGCGUGGGGAUCAAACAGGAUUAGAUACCCUGGUAGUCCACGCCCUAAACGAUGAUUACUCGACAUCAGCGAUACACUGUUGGUGUCUAAGCUAAAGCAUUAAGUAAUCCACCUGGGAAGUACGAUCGCAAGAUUGAAACUCAAAGGAAUUGGCGGGGGUCCGC